GACGAACGCUGGCGGCGUGCUUAACACAUGCAAGUCGAACGGAAAGGCCCUGCUUUUGUGGGGUGCUCGAGUGGCGAACGGGUGAGUAACACGUGAGUAACCUGCCCUUGACUUUGGGAUAACUUCAGGAAACUGGGGCUAAUACCGGAUAGGAGCUCCUGCUGCAUGGUGGGGGUUGGAAAGUUUCGGUGGUUGGGGAUGGACUCGCGGCUUAUCAGCUUGUUGGUGGGGUAGUGGCUUACCAAGGCUUUGACGGGUAGCCGGCCUGAGAGGGUGACCGGCCACAUUGGGACUGAGAUACGGCCCAGACUCCUACGGGAGGCAGCAGUGGGGAAUAUUGCACGAUGGGCGGAAGCCUGAUGCAGCAACGCCGCGUGCGGGAUGACGGCCUUCGGGUUGUAAACCGCUUUCGCCUGUGACGAAGCGUGAGUGACGGUAAUGGGUAAAGAAGCACCGGCUAACUACGUG
This 468-nucleotide ribosomal RNA is filed under the name uncultured bacterium. RNAcentral's name for it is "partial 16S ribosomal RNA". It matches the Rfam family "Bacterial small subunit ribosomal RNA", at positions 28 to 507 of the family's 1533-position model. The record is from RNAcentral.